UACAGAGGGGGCAAGCGUUAUUCGGAAUUAUUGGGCGUAAAGGGCGCGUAGGCGGCUUUGCAAGUGGCGGGUGAAAUCCCUCGGCUUAACCGAGGAACUGCCUGUCAAACUGCAUGGCUUGAGACCAGGAGAGGUGAGUGGAAUUCCCGGUGUAGCGGUGAAAUGCGUAGAUAUUGGGAGGAACACCAGUGGCGAAGGCGGCUCACUGGACUGGUACUGACGCUGAUGCGCGAAAGCGUGGGGAGCAAACAGG
This 253-nucleotide ribosomal RNA is filed under the name uncultured bacterium. Its description in RNAcentral is "partial 16S ribosomal RNA". It matches the Rfam family "Bacterial small subunit ribosomal RNA", at positions 524 to 776 of the family's 1533-position model. The record is from RNAcentral.